Molecule: non-coding RNA, 3594 nt
Organism: Ictidomys tridecemlineatus (thirteen-lined ground squirrel)
Lineage: Eukaryota; Metazoa; Chordata; Mammalia; Rodentia; Sciuridae
Source: RefSeq, a predicted model, not a curated record
UUUUUUUUUUUUUGAGUAUGCCUUGACUACACCAUAGUGAUUCAUAUGUGAUUGUCUCUAAGCCUUGGUACUUUUAAAAGCUGCUGGUGAUACCAAUAUAUAAACACAGUUAAGAUUUACUGGGCUAGAAGAAUAUAGGCCAUAGCUUCCCUGCUCAGUUGCUACUAUUGCCCUGAGGAUUUGACCACCUGCUUAUCUUUCUAGACUCAUCUUUCUGACUCCUUCCUCCUACACACAGACAAACUAUAACUGAACCACUUCUCUCCUGUCAAACCCUAUCUGACUUCUAUCCCUUUGUUCAUGUUUCCUCUGACGAGACCGCCUUCCUCAGAUUGAUGCCACCCUAGUGGACCCCUUCUUGGAAAACUUUCCCUCAGCAUCCUCAUGUGUGCCUCUGUUCUGAACUCUGGAAACAUUUCACGUGGCAGCCCCCAUCCUGGAAACUUUGUGGGGAUCUGCAUACCUCACAGGGCAGCGAGUGAGUCUGCUUACCUGCUUUCCUAGUACAAGUUCUGGGUGUUGAACCUAAGGCCUUGUAUGUACUCUACCACGGAGCUAUAUCACCAUCCCAAUGCCAGAAAACUGCAUUCCCUUAUCCACAGUGAUUGGUUCAGGAAUGGAAACAUUUGGAAGACAAGUCAAUCAAAGCCUAUAGCAAAGAAGUAGUAAAGAUGAGGAGAGGUAACUUCCUGAUGAUUUUAUGUUACUCCUUGGAUUCCACUCUCCCUGUCAUGAUUAAUUCCAUGUUUCAGAAACACCAUUCUACCUGUUGUUGUGGGUUUUGGGGGUCUUUUUGUUUCUUUUUUUAUUGUUUGUUUUUAUAUAUGAUUACAUUUGUCUGUAGACUUUGGGAAAAGCAGAUUACUCUCCAUAAUGUGGGAGGCCCUCAUUUAAUCAGUUGAAGGCCUUAAGUGCAAAGACUGAAGUUUCCCAGAGUACUACAGAGUACAAUAUAGAACCUUGGUUGAGCCUAAUGCCCUGCAUAAUUUGGACUCAAGACUGUAACAUCAACUGUUAAUCUGAAUUUCCAGCCUGUUGGCCCACUCUGUAAGUUGCCCUCGUAAGCACAAGUGAAUUCCUUAAAAUAUCACCCCUCAUGGAUUCUGUUUCUCCGGAGAACCCCAAUUAAUGCACUGACAAUGUACUUUCAUCUUUGAAUUAUCCAAUGUCUUACUUUUGUGUUUGUUUUAGCCAGCUUGAAUAGAGUUGCCAUCACCUGAAACUAAGAGUUGAACAGUCCAGAGUAUAAAUGGAUGGAGUCCCCUAUAGGUUAAUUAAUGAAAGAUUUUCCCAGGAUUUUGCCUUCCUUAUUAGCUACAAGUAACAAGCUACUUAAGGACACAAUUGUGUCUGAUGCUUUUUUUGCUUCAAAUUCCUUGAAACUUGAUCAGGCUAAUAAAUGUUGACUGAGCUGAAUUACAGAAUGAGGUGGCCUGGAAUGCUCACCUAUUGGGAUUACCCUUUUAUUUAGAGAUUAAUAUCCUUUGACAUUGAAGAAAUCCAACAGUGACUGCAGGUUUUAUCAUUUGUAUUAAGAACCAUAGAAAGUAGGUUCAAUAGCAUUAUUGUUAUAGAAUUGUUCAGAGGUUGUUGCAGUGACUUUAUUUAUGUCCUUAUAUGUAUAUGUCUAUUAUAGAUGUACACAGGUUUCAUUCUGGAUGUUUGGAUUGGAUAGUACACACUUCUUAGCUCCACCAAACCAGCACCCUUCCAAGGACACUGGUCAGAAUUAGCACAGACACUGUAUAUUGGUUUGCUAGGGUGACUAUCACACAGCAUAAACAGCAGAAAUCCAUUGCCUCAUAGUUCUGGAUGCCAGAAACCCAAGAUCAAGGUUGAAGGUAGGGCCAUACUCCCUCUGAAGGCACUAGGGAAGUAUUGUUUCCAGACCUUUCUCUUAGCUUCUGGUAGUCCCUCGGCUUGUGGAAGCAUAACUUCAGUCUUCACGUGGCAUUCUCUCUGCAUAUGUGACAAUCUCCAAAUUUCCCCUUUUUAUGAAGACACCAUUCAUAUGGUAUUACAGGCCCACCCUACUCAUUACCUCAUCUUAACUAAUUACACUUGCAACACCCCUGUGUCCAAAUAAGGAGACAUAUUUGGACACCAAGAAUCAGGAUUUUAACAUGAAUGUUGAGGGGAGACAACUCGGUUCAUGACAAUGUUUGUAUUUCCUUAAUCUUCAGAGCAACAUUCAUAGGCGGGCACUAGAGCUGAGCGAGUGAUAGGAGGAAGGAACACUGGUCUCCAGAGCUAGGAAAUACAUUGCUAGGACUACUCACUUACUGCCCUAUAGUUACUGCUGUAGAUUACUAUGCCAAGCAGUUAUUGUUAUUUUUACUGCAGUGCUAGAGAUCAGAUCCAGCAUGCAAAGCACAUGCCCUGCCUCUGAGCUAUACACCAGCCCUAAGCAAACAAUUUCUACUCUGGCACUCCAGGCUUGCAACCCACUCUAGUGAGUUCUCUUUCCUUCUCCCAUAUUUUCUAGUUAGUUUUUAACCUAUUGCUUCCUUCUCCUUAAAGAGCAAAUAACCAAGAAACAAGAAUUAGAAACAACAGAAAAAGAAAGGAAGUAGAGAAAGAGUGUUUUUAAAUAACAGUGUUUAAAAUGACACAUGCAUUGUUUUCUGUGACAUAUAGAACCAAGAUAAACACAAAAAGUAAUUUUCUCAGGUUCCAGUUGUUUUUUAUCACUCAGACAGAAUGGUGCUCCAUAGAGCAUGAGGAACAUUGUGCUAUUGCAAACUCUCUGUACCAGAGCAGGAGGAAGCCAGUGCAUCUGACUCUUGCCAAAGACAAUUCUUCCAAGUGACUGGGGAGAGGGAACCUAGAUGGGGGGAAUGGGGUUCUUCAAGAAAGCCAGUGAUUGUGUGUAAACAAUUUGACUAAGGAACACUGACAACAGUCCCACAUGCCAUCUCUGUCAUGCUUGCUAUAGGUCAGUCACCUACUCUUUUUUUUUUUCUUUUUCUUUCCACAUUUUUUAAAUUGGUACGUAAUAGUUGUACAUAAUAAUGGGACUGACCCCUAAUCCUGAAAAUUUCCAGCAUGGUCCCUGGUUCAUGAAGAUUCGUGAGCACGGGCUUGUUGCAGUGGGUAAUAGCAUGUAGCUCCUAUAUAGCCAAGUAAAUAAGUACCAGAUUAGAGGCCCAGCACCUACAUAAAAGAUACAGAUUCUAAAAAAAAAAAAAUAAAAUAAAGUUUUAAAUGAAUUAACAAUGUUAUUACUACUGAUACUUGACAUAUUACUAAUAAAUCAGUAGGAAAUUUGGGGAAAGAUGAUGAAAAUUUUAUGGGCCAGAAAGAAUAUAUUUUGUCCAGAUCUCAUCGGAAAUCACAGACAUUUCAUGAGUUUUCCUCUGAUUCUUCCAGAACUGCCAAGGAGAAAAUAAAAGGUUAUCCCAGAGCUUCAGCUUUUCUCUCAUCUACUCGAUGCCAAGUAGUAAAAUGAGAGAAAAUGGAAUUCUCACCAUAUUUGAAUCAUAUAAGUCAGAGGUUUUGCUUUAUAAAAAUCCAGCCUGCUUAAAAUGGGCCCAACUCCUGGCCUAUAGUGUCCAAAAAAUGUUAUUUGAAAUAAAUUGCACUCUAUUAACAAAA